AUUGAACGCUGGCGGCAGGCCUAACACAUGCAAGUCGAGCGGAGCGGCGGACGGGUGCGUAAUGCCUAGAAAUCUGCCUGGUCGUGGGGGCUAACGUCCGGAACCGGGCGCUAAUACCGCAUACUCUCAGUUUAGCCUCGGUCGGAUUAGCUAGUUGGUGGGGUAAAGGCCUACCAAGGCCACGAUCCGUAACUGGUCUGAGAGGAUGAUCAGUCACACUGGAACUGAGACAUGGUCCAGACUCCUACGGGAGGCAGCAGUGGGGAAUAUUGGACAAUGGGCGAAAGCCUGAUCCAGCCAUGCCGCGUGUGUGAAGAAGGUCUUCGGAUUGUAAAGCACUUUAAGUUGGGAGGCGUUACCAACAGAAUAAGCACCGGCUAACUUCGUGCCAGCCGCCGCGGUAAUUC
Molecule: ribosomal RNA, 407 nt
Filed under: uncultured bacterium
Lineage: Bacteria
Description: partial 16S ribosomal RNA
Rfam family: Bacterial small subunit ribosomal RNA
Source: RNAcentral